AUACGGAGGGUCCAAGCGUUAUCCGGAAUCAUUGGGUUUAAAGGGUCCGCAGGCGGUCAAUUAAGUCAGAGGUGAGAGCCCAUCGCUCAACGAUGGAACUGCCUUUGAUACUGGUUGACUUGAGUUAUACGGAAGUAGAUAGAAUAAGUAGUGUAGCGGUGAAAUGCAUAGAUAUUACUUAGAAUACCGAUUGCGAAGGCAGUCUACUACGUAUAUACUGACGCCGAGGGACGAAAGCGUGGGGAGCGAACAGGAUUAGAAACCCCAGUAGUCC
Molecule: ribosomal RNA, 274 nt
Filed under: uncultured bacterium
Lineage: Bacteria
Description: partial 16S ribosomal RNA
Rfam family: Bacterial small subunit ribosomal RNA
Source: RNAcentral